RNAcentral lists this ribosomal RNA (429 nucleotides) under Mesorhizobium loti. RNAcentral's name for it is "bacterial SSU rRNA". It matches the Rfam family "Bacterial small subunit ribosomal RNA", at positions 29 to 505 of the family's 1533-position model. Lineage: Bacteria; Pseudomonadati; Pseudomonadota; Alphaproteobacteria; Hyphomicrobiales; Phyllobacteriaceae. The record is from RNAcentral.
AACGAACGCUGGCGGCAGGCUUAACACAUGCAAGUCGAGCGCGUAGCAAUACGAGCGGCAGACGGGUGAGUAACGCGUGGGAAUCUACCCAUCUCUACGGAACAACUCCGGGAAACUGGAGCUAAUACCGUAUACGUCCUUUUGGAGAAAGAUUUAUCGGAGAUGGAUGAGCCCGCGUUGGAUUAGCUAGUCGGUGGGGUAAUGGCCUACCAAGGCGACGAUCCAUAGCUGGUCUGAGAGGAUGAUCAGCCACACUGGGACUGAGACACGGCCCAGACUCCUACGGGAGGCAGCAGUGGGGAAUAUUGGACAAUGGGCGCAAGCCUGAUCCAGCCAUGCCGCGUGAGUGAUGAAGGCCCUAGGGUUGUAAAGCUCUUUCAACGGUGAAGAUAAUGACGGUAACCGUAGAAGAAGCCCCGGCUAACUUCC